ACUCCUACGGGAGGCAGCAGUGGGGAAUAUUGCACAAUGGGCGCAAGCCUGAUGCAGCCAUGCCGCGUGUAUGAAGAAGGCCUUCGGGUUGUAAAGUACUUUCAGCAGUGAGGAAGGUGGAUAUGUUAAUAGCAUAUUCUAUUUGUACGUUAGCUGCAGAAGAAGCACCGGCUAACUCCGUGCCAGCAGCCGCGGUAAGUACGGAGGGUGCGAGCGUUAAUCGGAAUUACUGGGCGUAAAGCGCAUGCAGGUGGUUUGUUAAGUCAGAUGUGAAAGCCCGGGGCUCAACCUCGGAAUUGCAUUUGAAACUGGCAAACUAGAGUACUGUAGAGGGGGUAGAAUUUCAGGUGUAGCGGUGAAAUGCGUAGAGAUCGUGAA
This 378-nucleotide ribosomal RNA is filed under the name uncultured bacterium. Its description in RNAcentral is "bacterial SSU rRNA". It matches the Rfam family "Bacterial small subunit ribosomal RNA", at positions 335 to 703 of the family's 1533-position model. The record is from RNAcentral.